CGGUCAUCCGCUCGCGCCGAGUGCUUCGUCGUCCGGCCUCAGGCUAAUCACGGUCGUCCGCUCGCGCCGCGCAGGAUCCCGCCCGCCCGACGCCCGAUAAUCCGGUGACGCAUCGCGCUACCCUCGCCCGCCCCCCGCCCGCCGCGCCAUCGCACCGCCGCCGCGGUCUCUAGCUUCCGGCCACUCCGCGCCACCGCGUCGCCGCCGCUCUGUCCAGUCUUCCGGCCACGCCGGCCCCUCCGCGCCAUCACGCCGCCACCGCUCCGUCCCCGGCUUCCGGGCACUCCGCGCCAUCGCGCCGCCGCCGCUCCGUCCCAGGCUUCCGGCUACGCCACGCCGGCGUGCAGUUCCCGAGGCCCGUCGCCCAGUCGGCGGUCGCUCAUGUCCGUCGUCCCCGGCCUCACAUCGUCACCGGCCUCUCGUCGCUGCGCCGCCACCGCGGACUCCCUGGCCUCACGUCGUACAUAAGGGCCCGCUCGCUUGCAGGUGCCAGAAGCAGUUCGCGCAGUACACCAGCCCUCCGACGCAACUCCCGGUACUGCUCGCUCCCGUGCUACAAGGGUUGCCUUCUGCCGACGCCCACAAGGUGUUCGUCGAAUUGCCACAGUGAUUUUGAAAGCUUCUAGACAAGACAGUCUCUGAUAGAUAAUUGCAUGAGAUGUA
Long non-coding RNA from Panicum virgatum (switchgrass), 663 nucleotides. RefSeq lists it as uncharacterized. The record is from RefSeq and is a predicted model, not a curated record. The transcript is spliced from 3 exons. NCBI's taxonomy places the organism in Eukaryota, Viridiplantae, Streptophyta, Magnoliopsida, Poales, Poaceae.